RNAcentral lists this ribosomal RNA (253 nucleotides) under uncultured bacterium. Its description in RNAcentral is "partial 16S ribosomal RNA". It matches the Rfam family "Bacterial small subunit ribosomal RNA", at positions 524 to 776 of the family's 1533-position model. The record is from RNAcentral.
UACGGAGGGUGCAAACGUUGCUCGGAAUCAUUGGGCGUAAAGCGCACGUAGGCGGCACAGCAAGUUGGAUGUGAAAGCCCUCGGCUUAACCGAGGAAGUGCAUUCAAAACUACUGAGCUCGAGUACAAAAGAGGAUCGCGGAAUUCCCGGUGUAGAGGUGAAAUUCGUAGAUAUCUGGAGGAACACCGGUGGCGAAGGCGGCAUCCUGGACCAACACUGACGCUGAGGAGCGAAAGCCAGGGGAGCAAACGGG